GUGCCGCCGCUGCGGUAAUACGAAGGGGGCUAGCGUUGCUCGGAAUGACUGGGCGUAAAGGGCGCGUAGGCGGCGGCCAAAGUCAGGCGUGAAAUUCCUGGGCUCAACCUGGGGGCUGCGCUUGAUACUUGGUUGCUUGAGUGGGGAAGAGGGUCGUGGAAUUCCCAGUGUAGAGGUGAAAUUCGUAGAUAUUGGGAAGAACACCGGUGGCGAAGGCGGCGACCUGGUCCUUGACUGACGCUGAGGCGCGAAAGCGUGGGAGCAAACAGGAUUAGAUACCCUGGUAGUCCACGCUGUAAACGAUGUGCGCUGGAUGUUGGGUAACUUAGUUACUCAGUGUCGUAGCUAACGCGAUAAGCGCACCGCCUGGGAGUACGGCCGCAAGGUUGAAACUCAAAGGAUUGACGGGGCCCGC
This 415-nucleotide ribosomal RNA is filed under the name uncultured Acidisoma sp. RNAcentral describes it as "bacterial SSU rRNA". It matches the Rfam family "Bacterial small subunit ribosomal RNA", at positions 505 to 924 of the family's 1533-position model. The record is from RNAcentral. Lineage: Bacteria; Pseudomonadati; Pseudomonadota; Alphaproteobacteria; Acetobacterales; Acidocellaceae.